Molecule: non-coding RNA, 73 nt
Organism: Phrynosoma platyrhinos (Desert horned lizard)
Lineage: Eukaryota; Metazoa; Chordata; Lepidosauria; Squamata; Phrynosomatidae
Source: the annotation of a GenBank genome assembly
GCCAGCAUGGUGUAAUGGUUUGAAUGCUGGACUAAGACACCAGGAGACCAGGGUUCUAAUCCCUAUUCACUCA